UACAGAGGGUGCGAGCGUUGUUCGGAAUCAUUGGGCGUAAAGAGCGUGUAGGCGGCUGGAUAAGUCAGAUGUGAAAGCCCUGGGCUUAACCCAGGAAGUGCAUUUGAAACUGUUCAGCUUGAGUUCGGGAGAGGAGAGCGGAAUUCCAGGUGUAGCGGUGAAAUGCGUAGAUAUCUGGAAGAACACCAGUGGCGAAGGCGGCCAUCUGGCCUAAUACUGACGCUGAGGUACGAAAGCAUGGGGAGCAAACAGG
This 253-nucleotide ribosomal RNA is filed under the name uncultured bacterium. Its description in RNAcentral is "partial 16S ribosomal RNA". It matches the Rfam family "Bacterial small subunit ribosomal RNA", at positions 524 to 776 of the family's 1533-position model. The record is from RNAcentral.